GAUGAACGCUGGCGGCGUGCCUAAUACAUGCAAGUCGAGCGAACAGAUGAGGAGCUUGCUCCUCUGACGUUAGCGGCGGACGGGUGAGUAACACGUGGAUAACCUACCUAUAAGACUGGGAUAACUUCGGGAAACCGGAGCUAAUACCGGAUAAUAUAUUGAACCGCAUGGUUCAAUAGUGAAAGACGGUUUUGCUGUCACUUAUAGAUGGAUCCGCGCCGCAUUAGCUAGUUGGUAAGGUAACGGCUUACCAAGGCAACGAUGCGUAGCCGACCUGAGAGGGUGAUCGGCCACACUGGAACUGAGACACGGUCCAGACUCCUAAGGGAGGCAGCAGUAGGGAAUCUUCCGCAAUGGGCGAAAGCCUGACGGAGCAACGCCGCGUGAGUGAUGAAGGUCUUCGGAUCGUAAAACUCUGUUAUUAGGGAAGAACAAAUGUGUAAGUAACUAUGCACGUCUUGACGGUACCUAAUCAGAAAGCCACGGCUAACUACGUG
RNAcentral lists this ribosomal RNA (497 nucleotides) under uncultured bacterium. RNAcentral's name for it is "partial 16S ribosomal RNA". It matches the Rfam family "Bacterial small subunit ribosomal RNA", at positions 28 to 507 of the family's 1533-position model. The record is from RNAcentral.